UGAAGCCAUAAACAACACACUCCCUAUAAAAUUAUGAGAUUUGUUGUUAGAACACGUCUCAAGAGUUUCUAUGAGAGAUUAAAAAGUGUAUUCGACUCUAUAAAUAUGGAGCACCAAAUUAUAAGGUACAGUUAAAUAAGAUAUUGUUUUUGUUCCCUCGGAGACCUCAGAACAAACAAACCAUGCCAACACCUUGAUUUUGGACUUCUAAAUCUCCCAAAUGGUCAGAGAAUAAAUUUCCUUUG
Molecule: long non-coding RNA, 245 nt
Filed under: Felis catus (domestic cat)
Lineage: Eukaryota; Metazoa; Chordata; Mammalia; Carnivora; Felidae
Description: lncRNA (ENSFCAG00000048451.1)
Source: RNAcentral